This 1699-nucleotide long non-coding RNA is filed under the name Equus asinus (donkey). RNAcentral describes it as "lncRNA (ENSEASG00005035291.1)". The record is from RNAcentral. Lineage: Eukaryota; Metazoa; Chordata; Mammalia; Perissodactyla; Equidae.
UUAGCCUUCAGCUCCAGUUGGCUUGGCCUGCUGGGUCCAGGAACAGGCCCAGGUCUCCCUGCUUUCCCAGGAAAUCUGUUCUCUCCCUUUGUUCACUUCUUGGGGAACCACUCUAGAAUUCUGGGCCUGCCUGGAGUCCUCCCAGAAGGUAUUUCAGAACAGUGGAAGAUUCUUCUUUCCCCUUUUCAAUUGAGCAGGGAGGAGUCUUUGUUGUUCACGGUAAAAUGGGAAGGUUUUAACAUUCUAGAACCAUUUUGUUGAGUGGACCAUUCCUGGCCCUGACACCCACAGCACUGUCUGAGGAAGGGCUAUCUGAGUAGGCAAAGGGCAAGGAGAUGAUAUGGUCCUAAGCAGGGCUACUGCCCUCAAGGGUGUUCAGUCCAGGGUGCCAGGGCACUAAAGCCAGCCUAUGCCAAGCCUGCACCCCGGUGUGAGGCUGUCCUCCUGGAGUUAAGGGAUCCUUUUUGUCAUUCUCACAAAGGUGCCAAAUGGAAAGCAGCAGCCCCAGUCCCAGUAAGCGAAGAGGCUUGGACACGAGCAAGCUGGCUGAGUGGCUUGAGAGUAGGUGCCCAGUAAGCUGUCCCUGUGAAGCGCCAUUUGGGGUGACUCUGGCCACAGGUGUUCUGAGAGGAACUGACAAUCAUCUGGGGCAGAUAAGGAGGUGGGUCUGUAGGAUGCAGCAACAGAAUUUACUGUCUGAUGGUUCUUUGCACUUGUCUAGCUCUUCAUGUUUCCCAUAUUACCGCAUGAGGUCCCCAGGUCAAUUCUGUGAAUGCAGGGCAUGCAUAUCCCUGUGGGCUCUGGUGGCUGAGGCUCCUGUCUAAGGUGAGUGAAAGGAGGAACUGGGUCUUUCCUGCUUCCACUUGAAGCAAGAUUCCCUUUUUCCUCCCUCCACUAGCAACAGAAAAAUAUGUAGAAAUCUCUGAUAUAUGCAGGGCCUGGGGAAGGAACUAAUAGGAAAGAGGGGAAGGAAGGAAGCUACAAAAGCCCAAAGAAAUGGGGUUGGCCCUGUGGGAGAGCUCUGGAGUGGGGUGGGGACAAGACGAGCCAAAGUUUAGGAAGCCCCCAAAGCCUCCAGCGUCCAUGGGGCUGAAAGGAGGGAAGUGUGGGAACAAGAAGCAAAAAACCAUGGCCUAGAAUAAGGACCAGGGAGGUGGGGAGUCCUGAUGUAACCUGGAAGGAAAACAACUGGCCUUUUAAAUCCUGCUUCUGGCCUCUUAUCGGGGGCUUGAUGUGGAGGUGGUAGAGGCAGCCUAUCACCUCCCUCUAGCUUACCAGAGUCUCGUGGGGUGGGGAGGUGGAAGGGACUCCACAUAGGAUGCUGAUGGCUAAGAAAAAGGAAGCACGACCUUUUCAGUCCCAUCCUCAUUCCCCCUAUCAUUUUGUAAUUGCAUUUGGUGGUUGAUUCACUCAAGGGAAGGAAAAGCAGUUAGAUUCUCACCUGCCAGAACAAAACAGUCGAUCGACUUGGCUCUCUUUGCUUUACACACCGAAGAGCACAAUUCAGAUCUUCUGUGUUUAUUAAUCAAAACAAGAAUUAAAGAACAUAUUUAUCUCAAGUUCUUUCACUGUCAAGGAUUCAGAUUAUCAGAUCAAAGCCUCAUGUCUAGAACAUUUGCUCCAACAUGGAAAAGCUUUUCUUUAGCUCAGUGGUGGUGACUGCAAUGGGAUCAAAUGUCCUAUGCACCUCUGUUCCCAG